GCUCCCUGAGAUUAGCGGCGGACGGGUGAGUAACACGUGGGCAACCUGCCUAUAAGACUGGGAUAACUUCGGGAAACCGGAGCUAAUACCGGAUACGUUCUUUUCUCGCAUGAGAGAAGAUGGAAAGACGGUUUUGCUGUCACUUAUAGAUGGGCCCGCGGCGCAUUAGCUAGUUGGUGAGGUAAUGGCUCACCAAGGCGACGAUGCGUAGCCGACCUGAGAGGGUGAUCGGCCACACUGGGACUGAGACACGGCCCAGACUCCUACGGGAGGCAGCAGUAGGGAAUCUUCCGCAAUGGACGAAAGUCUGACGGAGCAACGCCGCGUGAACGAAGAAGGCCUUCGGGUCGUAAAGUUCUGUUGUUAGGGAAGAACAAGUACCAGAGUAACUGCUGGUACCUUGACGGUACCUAACCAGAAAGCCACGGCUAACUACGUGCCAGCAGCCGCGGUAAUACGUAGGUGGCAAGCGUUGUCCGGAAUUAUUGGGCGUAAAGCGCGCGCAGGUGGUUCUUUAAGUCUGAUGUGAAAGCCCACGGCUCAACCGUGGAGGGUCAUUGGAAACUGGGGAACUUGAGUGCAGAAGAGGAAAGUGGAAUUCCAAGUGUAGCGGUGAAAUGCGUAGAGAUUUGGAGGAACACCAGUG
This 646-nucleotide ribosomal RNA is filed under the name Peribacillus butanolivorans. RNAcentral's name for it is "bacterial SSU rRNA". It matches the Rfam family "Bacterial small subunit ribosomal RNA", at positions 81 to 714 of the family's 1533-position model. Lineage: Bacteria; Bacillati; Bacillota; Bacilli; Caryophanales; Bacillaceae. The record is from RNAcentral.